GAUUAGAGUUUGAUCCUGGCUCAGGACGAACGCUGGCGGCAUGCCUAACACAUGCAAGUCGAGGGGCUCUUCGGAGUCACUGGCGCACGGGUGAGUAACACGUAGGUCAUCUACCCCUAUCACAGACAUAACCCCGGGAAACCGGGGCUAAUAUCUGAUGAGGUCGCGAGAUCAAAGCUUCGGCGGAUAGGGAUGAGCCUGCGGCUGAUUAGCUAGUUGGUGAGGUAAUGGCUCACCAAGGCGACGAUCAGUAGCUGGUCUGAGAGGACGAACAGCCACACUGGAACUGAGACACGGUCCAGACUCCUACGGGAGGCAGCAGUGAGGAAUAUUGGUCAAUGGGAGCAAUCCUGAACCAGCAAUGCCGCGUGUGGGAUGAAGGCGCUUCGCGUCGUAAACCACUGUCGGACGGGACGAAAAGAGCUAUAAAGCUCCGAGACGGUACC
Molecule: ribosomal RNA, 446 nt
Filed under: uncultured bacterium
Lineage: Bacteria
Description: bacterial SSU rRNA
Rfam family: Bacterial small subunit ribosomal RNA
Source: RNAcentral